GAAAGGGGCGCAAGGAAUCUUGCCAGCGUAUGGGGCAGCCUAGUGGCCGGGCCAGCACCGCUCAGAAUGCAGAAGAUGACCAAUACAGAUGACCCUGAAGCCUACUUGCAUACGUUUGAGAGGGUGGCCACAGCAGCAGGAUGGCCGCGGGAUCAAUAGACUUUGGUGUUCAUCCCGUGUCUCACUGGCCUGCUGCAAGAGGUGGUUGAUACCCUUGGCGUUCAAGAGGCGACACGAUAUGACGCGGUAAAAACGCUAUCCUGAGCACUCUGAACCUGACGGAAGAGACCUACAGGAAACGUCUGAGAGAGCUGAAGUGGAAGCCUGGGACCCACCCGUGUACUGUGGCACAGAGGAUGAGGGCCAACGCGAUGAGAUGGCUGAAACCGUCAGAAAAUGAUGGUGAAAAGAUAGUGGAUGCAGUCGUGCUAGAGCAGCUAGUACAGUCCUUGGGGACUAACACGAAGAGCUGGAUACAGAAGAAUAAUCCCAAGAUGUUAGAGUGGGCGAUUACGCUGUUGGAGGACUACAGUAACACGGAGGAAGCGAACAAGGAAGUGACCGCCCCCUGGGCGGAGAAACAUCAACCGCGUGGAGGAGAAGUUUCUCUUUCGACUUCUAAUCUCACUGCGAAGGCAGGCUUGGAUAUGAACGGAUCAGCCAAACCCCGUGGGAGAGGGUUCGAGCCAUUUGCCCCGAAGCCCGUCAGGCCUAUUACGGUAGAUCAGCGGAUUUACGCUCCGGGCAUGGGCUGGAGAGAGGGCAAAGAUGGGCGCCCCAUCUAUAACCCAGGAGCGGUUUGGCGGGACAACAAAGAGGGGCGGCCCAUUUGCUUUUCCUGUGGGGUCCCGGGCCACGUGAGGAAAAAUUGCCCAGGGACCGAUUGUUCGUGGGUGGGGCGACUAACCCAGCCUGUGGAACCUAAGGUCCCUUCCUCUGAGCGAUGGGAAAUAGACACGUGGGUGAAUGGGGUGAAAAAGAAAGCCCUUAUAGAUACCGGGUGUGGGACGACCCUGGUGAGAGACCUACUGGGCGACAAGAAAGAUGGAGGACUGUCCAUGCGGUGUAUUCACAGGGACCUUAAGAAAUACCAAACUAUGUGGGCCACCGUGAAGGUGGGGAAAGAAGAGAGACGCAUGAACAUUGGGGUCAUGCCUGGACUAACACGUGAGAUGCUGCUUGGUCGGGAUUGGGUGGGCUCCCAUACUGUGGGUUCGAUUAAAGAGGGGCUGCAAGGGGAUGAUGUGAGUGAUAAGGACCAGUCCGAUUUUUUGCAGAAAACAUUGCGGGAGCAAGUGAGAGCCAUGCAACAAGAUGACGCUUCAUUGCGGGAGCCUUUGUUGGCGGCUCAACCAUCGGGAACCAUUGUAAGAGGGCAAAGGGGAUGGGAGAUGGAUAACAAUUUGUUGUAUUAUGUGCAUGAUAAUACAUCUCCCAUGUAUUAUGUGCAUGGGAGAUGGAUAACAA
This 1467-nucleotide long non-coding RNA is filed under the name Pogona vitticeps (central bearded dragon). Its description in RNAcentral is "lncRNA (ENSPVIG00000021738.1)". Lineage: Eukaryota; Metazoa; Chordata; Lepidosauria; Squamata; Agamidae. The record is from RNAcentral.